UGCUUACAGCACAUUUGGAACAGGAUACGGGAACACUUGGCUGACUGCUUUUGUGCUGAGAUCUUUUGCCAAAGCACAGUCUUUCAUCUACAUCGACCCAGAAAAGAUUGCAGAGUCAAAGACUUGGCUGGAGAGCAAACA
Molecule: RNA transcript, 141 nt
Organism: Larimichthys crocea (large yellow croaker)
Lineage: Eukaryota; Metazoa; Chordata; Actinopteri; Sciaenidae
Exons: 2
Source: RefSeq, a predicted model, not a curated record